RNAcentral lists this ribosomal RNA (253 nucleotides) under uncultured bacterium. RNAcentral describes it as "partial 16S ribosomal RNA". It matches the Rfam family "Bacterial small subunit ribosomal RNA", at positions 524 to 776 of the family's 1533-position model. The record is from RNAcentral.
UACGUAGGGUGCAAGCGUUGUCCGGAAUUAUUGGGCGUAAAGAGCUCGUAGGCGGUCUGUUGCGUCGGCUGUGAAAACCCGGGGCUCAACCCCGGGCCUGCAGCCGAUACGGGCAGACUAGAGUUCGGCAGGGGAGACUGGAAUUCCUGGUGUAGCGGUGAAAUGCGCAGAUAUCAGGAGGAACACCGGUGGCGAAGGCGGGUCUCUGGGCCGUAACUGACGCUGAGGAGCGAAAGCGUGGGGAGCGAACAGG